This 942-nucleotide ribosomal RNA is filed under the name Frigoribacterium sp. RNAcentral describes it as "bacterial SSU rRNA". It matches the Rfam family "Bacterial small subunit ribosomal RNA", at positions 552 to 1493 of the family's 1533-position model. Lineage: Bacteria; Bacillati; Actinomycetota; Actinomycetes; Micrococcales; Microbacteriaceae. The record is from RNAcentral.
UAUUGGGCGUAAGAGCUCGUAGGCGGUUUGUCGCGUCUGCUGUGAAAUCUGGGGGCUCAACCCCCAGCCUGCAGUGGGUACGGGCAGACUAGAGUGCGGUAGGGGAGAUUGGAAUUCCUGGUGUAGCGGUGGAAUGCGCAGAUAUCAGGAGGAACACCGAUGGCGAAGGCAGAUCUCUGGGCCGUAACUGACGCUGAGGAGCGAAAGCGUGGGGAGCGAACAGGAUUAGAUACCCUGGUAGUCCACGCCGUAAACGUUGGGAACUAGAUGUGGGGACCAUUCCACGGUCUCCGUGUCGCAGCUAACGCAUUAAGUUCCCCGCCUGGGGAGUACGGCCGCAAGGCUAAAACUCAAAGGAAUUGACGGGGGCCCGCACAAGCGGCGGAGCAUGCGGAUUAAUUCGAUGCAACGCGAAGAACCUUACCAAGGCUUGACAUAUACCGGAAACGGCCAGAGAUGGUCGCCCCGCAAGGUCGGUAUACAGGUGGUGCAUGGUUGUCGUCAGCUCGUGUCGUGAGAUGUUGGGUUAAGUCCCGCAACGAGCGCAACCCUCGUUCUAUGUUGCCAGCACGUUAUGGUGGGAACUCAUAGGAGACUGCCGGGGUCAACUCGGAGGAAGGUGGGGAUGACGUCAAAUCAUCAUGCCCCUUAUGUCUUGGGCUUCACGCAUGCUACAAUGGCCGGUACAAAGGGCUGCGAUACCGUAAGGUGGAGCGAAUCCCAAAAAGCCGGUCUCAGUUCGGAUUGAGGUCUGCAACUCGACCUCAUGAAGUCGGAGUCGCUAGUAAUCGCAGAUCAGCAACGCUGCGGUGAAUACGUUCCCGGGCCUUGUACACACCGCCCGUCAAGUCAUGAAAGUCGGUAACACCCGAAGCCAGUGGCCUAACCCCUUGUGGGAUGGAGCUGUCGAAGUGGGAUCGGUGAUUAGGACGAAGUCGUACA